CAACUCUUGCAGUGAACAUGAGUCUGGAGAGUUUGAGCAUGGCAGCACAAACCCAAGUCCUCUUCAGCUCUUUUACACAAACCUGUUGCCUGUGUUGAAUACUCUCAGUUGUUGCAGCAGAGGCUAAGGAUCGCAGACAUGUUCUCACGGUUGUGUUGCAGUGGUUUUGUUGGUAUUAAAGACCACACUUCUGCUGAAAUGGAAAACUUUGGUGGUUUUGUCCAACACUGGCAACUCUUCUUCGUCCCUCUUCAUGCUCUUAAGGGAAUGCACCUGGGUUGAUUUGGAGGUGGCAGCUUCUAAAUGGUUCUGCCUCUGACAGUCCGUCAGCUCUUUUUGAAGGUCAUCUUUUUCUCUUUUUUGCGGGGUUGCAGUAGGAUGUCGGGUCGUCCCUCUUCUUCUUCUUGGGGACUGUGGUGGCCCCGUUUUCCCACUUGGGCCCUUUUAUCUGGGAUUGGAGUUGACUGGUCUGUGAAGUGGAUAAUUUUUUUUUAACUCUUGAUCUCAAAGCAGCGGUUUGACAUUUGACAAAAAUGCACAUUGUAAAAUGCUCUUGGCGGCAGCUCUACAGUUAAUGAGAGUUUUAUCAUUCUUCCCAUUGAAAUCUGGGCAAAAAUAGAGAAUAUUUACCAAAAUGCUAAAUUUUUCUUCUACCAUAUAAAAUGCUCAAGACGGGGAGAUAUUUCAAACACCCACCUUUUGCCCGGCUUUCAGUUUUGCAUUCAUUUCUUCUUUUUUCCGACUGCUGAUGAAAUUCUGCAAGAAGGAAUAGGAAUGCUUCUCCGCUCCCAUCCCAGCAGGGCUGCCCUCCAUGGCUGGGCUGCUUGAGGAGUCCUCCUUCGGGGACAUUUGCAGGACCAUGUUGUCUACAUGUGGUCCAUCGCCAUAGCUCUGUUCCUCGCAGAUGUCCAUCAGACCCUCAGACGAUUUCGUACUGGAAGACAAAUUAAGUUGCUGGGCCAAACACCUUAGUCUCCUUUCAUCAAAUUUGUUUGUUUUACCUUUAUCUGUCAGCACAGAUUUAAACAGACCGUUUAAGCACACACUCACUAGAGGCUGUUUUUGAACCGUCCCUGAAGGUGGCUCAUCGACAGGAAUGGAUGCUGGAGAAUUAGUCUUGGGUCAAUUCUUUCAAACUGAUUUGUCAUAAGCAUCUGUGCC
Pleuronectes platessa (European plaice) is the source of this 1161-nucleotide long non-coding RNA. RefSeq lists it as uncharacterized. The transcript is spliced from 3 exons. Lineage: Eukaryota; Metazoa; Chordata; Actinopteri; Pleuronectiformes; Pleuronectidae. The record is from RefSeq and is a predicted model, not a curated record.